This 486-nucleotide ribosomal RNA is filed under the name Lodderomyces parapsilosis. RNAcentral describes it as "eukaryotic LSU rRNA". It matches the Rfam family "Eukaryotic large subunit ribosomal RNA", at positions 51 to 541 of the family's 3401-position model. The record is from RNAcentral. Lineage: Eukaryota; Fungi; Ascomycota; Pichiomycetes; Serinales; Debaryomycetaceae. RNAcentral also lists the same sequence under 1 other name.
CGGAGGAAAAAGAAACCAACAGGGAUUGCCUCAGUAACGGCGAGUGAAGCGGCAAAAGCUCAAAUUUGAAAUCUAGCACUUUCAGUGUUCGAGUUGUAAUUUGAAGAAGGUAACUUUGGUUUUGGCUCUUGUCUAUGUUCCUUGGAACAGGACGUCACAGAGGGUGAGAAUCCCGUGCGAUGAGAUGCCCAAUUCCAUGUAAAGUGCUUUCGAAGAGUCGAGUUGUUUGGGAAUGCAGCUCUAAGUGGGUGGUAAAUUCCAUCUAAAGCUAAAUAUUGGCGAGAGACCGAUAGCGAACAAGUACAGUGAUGGAAAGAUGAAAAGAACUUUGAAAAGAGAGUGAAAAAGUACGUGAAAUUGUUGAAAGGGAAGGGCUUGAGAUCAGACUUGGUAUUUUGCGUUCCCUUCCUUUUUGGUUGGGUUCCUCGCAGUUUACUGGGCCAGCAUCGGUUUGGAUGGUAGGAUAAUGACAUUGGAAUGUAGCUU